RNAcentral lists this ribosomal RNA (253 nucleotides) under uncultured bacterium. RNAcentral's name for it is "partial 16S ribosomal RNA". It matches the Rfam family "Bacterial small subunit ribosomal RNA", at positions 524 to 776 of the family's 1533-position model. The record is from RNAcentral.
UACGGAGGGUGCAAACGUUGUCCGGAAUCACUGGGCGUAAAGCGCAUGUAGGUGGUUUGGUAAGUGGGUGAUUAAAGACCGAUGCUUAACAUCGGGACUGUUACCUAUACUGCCUUACUAGAGGAUGACAGGGGUAAGCGGAACUUUAGGUGUAGGAGUGAAAUCCGUAGAUAUCUAAAGGAACACCAAUGGCGAAGGCAGCUUACUGGGUUUUUCCUGACACUGAGAUGCGAAAGCGUGGGGAGCGAACGGG